Aedes albopictus (Asian tiger mosquito) is the source of this 961-nucleotide long non-coding RNA. RefSeq lists it as uncharacterized. The transcript is spliced from 2 exons. The record is from RefSeq and is a predicted model, not a curated record. NCBI's taxonomy places the organism in Eukaryota, Metazoa, Arthropoda, Insecta, Diptera, Culicidae.
ACAGUAAAUUUCUCCUAGCUGAAAAGGUUAAUUUUUCUCAAACAACUGCUUUAUUGUUGAACAGUAUGAAACUUGGAGCUGUUGACUAUAAACGAUGGUUUGAUCAAACCAUGUCAGACAGUGACACUAUAUUGUAGUCUCCAAACAUUGUUCAACUGUAUGGCGACGAAAACUCGUUUAAUAUUGUAGCAAUGUAAGAUCACCUCAUAUCAAACUGUUAGCCUUCACAGUUGCGCAACACACCUACACCACUGCAUUUUACUAUAAAUCACAUUUGUUCAACACUUUGGUAAAUAGUUACACGCUUUUGUAUUCGUGAGCAUAAGCUUCCAGCUUGUUUCUACUGCAUUUUCGCGAAACACAUCAAAAGGUUCCAUCUAUGGUACGCAAAGCAAGCAUCAUCGCACUUUUAACUCAGAUAAAAUUAAAAAUUCAGUGCAUUAGAAUGAUUUAAUGCAUUUUCAGAUUUUUCGGCAUGUUUUCAUCGAAAAUCUUCAUAGCAGUUCCACACUUUGAUGACAGUGUAAAAUUUUGCGUGUUUAUGAGUAUCACAUUUCCAAAAUUUAAUUAGACCCACUUUGAAUGUUACUCGAGUUCCGCGAGUUUUGCUUGUUCGAAAGCUGCACAAAAUCCAAGGCAGAAUCAACAAUGUGGUGGAUUACCACAAACAACACCGUGAAAAGUUGGCCGAAUACGCUUCUGGGGAGGCUUCUUCCACUGCGGCCGCAGUACAGACCGGAUAUAAACAACAUUCGAGCCCAGGUCCAGCCAAGGGCAGGAAUAGACGGAACCAUGGAGCUUGUUUUUGGAGGUCGGAUGUACCGCAGACGUUGGCCAAACAGCUGCUGGAGAUAGCCAAAACAUAUUCAGCGUUUGGUAGUCAUCAGAAAGUGCAUAAUUUGGUUGGUCUACGGAUGACACUUAUCGGACAGUAGGCGGACAUCACUGACGAAGGAACCGA